CGGUGUUUGACUGGCGUGAUGUGGGACGUCCUACCGGUGGGCUUAGCCUCGCGAGGGGCGGCCCAACUAAUAUCCCGUCGCGGUGCUCUUUACUGAGUGUCGAGUCGGGCCGGUACGUUUACUUUGAACAAAUUAGAGUGCUUAAAGCAGGCUAUCCUCGCCUGAAUACUGCGUGCAUGGAAUAAUGGAAUAGGACCUCGGUUCUAUUUUGUUGGUUUUCGGAACCCCGAGGUAAUGAUUAAUAGGGACAGAUGGGGGCAUUCGUAUUGCGACGUUAGAGGUGAAAUUCUUGGAUCGUCGCAAGACGGACAGAAGCGAAAGCAUUUGCCAAAAAUGUUUUCAUUAAUCAAGAACGAAAGUUAGAGGUUCGAAGGCGAUCAGAUACCGCCCUAGUUCUAACCAUAAACGAUGCCAGCUAGCGAUCCGCCGAAGUUCCUCCGAUGACUCGGCGGGCAGCUUCCGGGAAACCAAAGCUUUUGGGUUCCGGGGGAAGUAUGGUUGCAAAGCUGAAACUUAAAGGAAUUGACGGAAGGGCACCACCAGGAGUGGAGCCUGCGGCUUAAUUUGACUCAACACGGGAAACCUCACCAGGCCCAGACACCGGAAGGAUUGACAGAUUGAUAGCUCUUUCUUGAUUCGGUGGGUGGUGGUGCAUGGCCGUUCUUAGUUGGUGGAGCGAUUUGUCUGGUUAAUUCCGAUAACGAACGAGACUCUAGCCUGCUAAAUAGGCGUACCUUAUGGUAUCGCGAAGGCCCCCGGCUUCGGCCGGUGGGUUUUUACUACCAACGUACAAACAAAUCUUCUUAGAGGGACAGGCGG
This 819-nucleotide ribosomal RNA is filed under the name uncultured eukaryote. RNAcentral's name for it is "SSU rRNA". It matches the Rfam family "Eukaryotic small subunit ribosomal RNA", at positions 629 to 1426 of the family's 1831-position model. The record is from RNAcentral.